Molecule: ribosomal RNA, 5325 nt
Filed under: Triticum aestivum (bread wheat)
Lineage: Eukaryota; Viridiplantae; Streptophyta; Magnoliopsida; Poales; Poaceae
Description: partial small subunit ribosomal RNA
Rfam family: MIR1120/MIR1122 microRNA precursor family (bases 4546-4680)
Source: RNAcentral
GUUUGAUUGUAGAUUCGCGCUGGGGCGCUUUGCCCUUUGUUUCGGCCUGUAUAAUACACGGACCGGCCCGUUUACUUGUCUUUCUGUUGGAGCGUUGUCUAAUGCUUGGGGCCGGCCUGGAUUCGUGCGAGCAUGUCGCUUUUUUGUAGGCUGGGGCAAAGUGCUGGGGGUGCAGUAAAUAAAGGGGGUGAAGAGGAUGUGGGACUCGUGGUAAUUAAGAGGAGGGGAACGGCAAGUCAGUUCAUUUCUUCCUUCUCUCUCUAUUCUUCUCUGUCAAAUCUGAAGAUCUGCAGCGGAACGAAGAAAUCGAUGUGCUCCUCCACGGCCAGCGAGAGAACAGGCGGUGCUGCUGAUGGAAUAAGUGCCACCCCCUCCUUUUCUUGUUGUUUGUUUUGUUGGCGAGAUGUAGUAGAUCUGAGGGGAUUUUGGGUUUCAUUUUUUGUUUGGAUCAAGUCCAGAUUAGGAGCUUGAAGCAUAGAAUCGCUCCCCCUUUUUAAUCAAACAGUGGCAUGUAGUGUGUCCUCUUUUUUGUAUGAUUUUUCUUUUAGACUUUUGCCGAAUCCAUUUUCGUGAAAUCAGUAGCAUGUUUGAGGAUUAUUACGUACUGAACCCAAACCCUCUCAUAUCUAUUACUGAACCUAUCACUAGGAGUGGCUCAGUCCCUUGUUUUGUUUUAUUUUAUAUUUUGCUGAAACCCAUUUAAUCAAUAGCAUGUUUUUGAAAUCUUUUCUCUGUAUACGAGAGAGAUUAUUACUGAAUCUAUCACUAGGAGUGGGCAUGUUUAUUUGUUUUGUCAUAUUUUUUGUUGAACCCCUAUUAAUAAGUAGCAGUAGCAUGUUUUUUCAGUUUUCUUGCUGAAACCCUAUGAAUCAGUACCAUGUUCAAUUUUUUUGUCUGGGAUCAAGAUAAUGAUUACUAAAUGCAUCACUAGCAGUGGUAUGUCGAUUUCUUCCAUGUGUUCACACAUUUUUUGUUUUAAUUUGGUCUUUUGAUAGAUUCAUCUUUUUAUCUCUGCAACCCAAUGUAAAUAUAUUUUUGCUCAUCAGCCGUCGAUGCCAAUGAUAAAUCAUCAUUAUCUUGAAAUCCUUUUUUUAAGCAUGCAAGUUUCUCACUAAAAUCAUUAGCUGAAUAUGUAUGCCUCGCACUAGCACAAAUUUAUCUUUGGCACCAUUUUUAUGUGCACAGGAGAUGGUUUGCACAGUUUGUCUGAGCCCUUGUUGACCGCGAGAGCAGGGGAAGCGGCAUCAGUAUGUAUGUCUGGAAGGAGUUCAAGAAGGGAGGGGGAAUGGUGUGCCCAGUUUACCACGCAUACUGCCAAAAUGAAAAUGGUCGGAGAUUCGACAUCUAUGUCUGUGAUGCCAACGGAAUCUUUCCCGCUCUCAUGGAUGCCCACAAGCAGAUUGCACGCAAGAUAGAAACUAAAACCGAGGCCUCCUUGAAAGAAGGAGCAGUUGUUAUGAGUCUUAUCAUCAAUUCUUAUUUUCACACGGGAUCCUAGAGAAGGCUAAAGCUGAAACAAGAGAUUGGCUUAACAGUGUGAUGACCCAACUUUAUACUAACUUUAGUAGAAAGUUGGGUCAUCAAUUUUGGAACGGAGGGAGUACAUUUUUAUGAAUACAGCCACACACAGGUACAAAUAUUGAAGACGAAGACAGAGAGCAGGGUCUUGAAGAUACAAAUUUAGAAGAGAGAGAUCACUGACACUGAAGUAUCAGAGGGUUUGCUGUAUGAAGAAGUUGUGACGUUGUAUGAAGCAUUAGAGAAGGAACCAAGACCUGGCAGAGUUGUUUAGCUACACAAAUGGGCCUUACAUUUUUCUGCUGUCUUUUUGUUGCGUCCAUGGACAGGGAGGAAGGUAAAACGGGCUAAACAAACAGACAACACACAAGAAAAAACAAAACAAAAAGCCCACACCCCAAGCCCACCACAUGGGAAGUUAAAACCCAACAGUGAGGGAGGUGAAACAGGCCUCAGCUGACUGAGACUUCGCGAAGUCUCAGUCGACUGAGAUCUAGACAGACUCUAAACUUUAACCAUUAAAUCACGUAGCCGUCACCUCCUUUCCCACACUUGAGGUUUUUCUCGCGUCCCGCCGAUGCCGGUUCGCCUCGUCUCCGGUGGGCCUUACGUCCAUAGAGGCGUGGUGGAUACCGAUCCUUGCCGGUGUGAGGGUUCAGUUUUUAGAUGUUACUUUGAGUUUUGUUAGGGUUUGUGUCCUAUUCAAGAAGACGAGACUGCGGAUGCUUCCUGAAGAUGGAAUAAGGUUCUCUCUGGUUAGCCUCGUUCCCGUGGUGCAUCUAGCACCGUCGGUGUGCGUGUGCAGAUGUGUCUCCGGCGGAUCUAUCUUUGGUGGAGCUGCUCGGAUCUGUUCGUCGUUCGUCUACGUUCAUGUUUCUUCAGGUUGAAUCCUUUUGAUUUACGCUACUCUUUAUCUGCGAUAGUUGCUGUUCUGGUGCGCUGAUUCUAUGGGGCCUUAUCACGAUGACUUCCCGACUGUCUAUUACACAAGUUUUAGCCGGCUCCGACAAGGGAAGGGCGAUGACGACGACGCGUCUUUGGCUCGCUUCAGUUCUUCUAGUCGUCGCAGGGUGGUCUAUAAAUCUGGAUGUAAUUUUUGUUAUUUCUUGUGUUCAUUGUACUGUCAAUGUCAAGAUGAGAAAAACUAACUAACAAAAAUAAGUUAUAUACCAGUAGAAUAUUAUCAUUGGAAGUCUCUUUUGACUAUGAAUCCAACACUAUAACUUUUGUGACAUACAAAGUAUAUUUUCAUAUUUUGUUAGGGCACGAAAUACAAAUGGACCAGUCAACCGGACGGAGGUAAUACGUUGCAAACGGUCUGGCCCAGUCGGACCCUUGUGCGUGCGUGGCCUCGCUAUUGGACGCAACGAGCGUCCAAUAGAAUCUCCCCAACCCAAUCCUUGCACCUGCUACUACUACGUGUCUUCUCCUUGAACCACGUUCUUUAUCUUACCUCGAGCGAGGCAACCGGCAGCAGCCUCCGAUGCCAAGGGCCAGUGGGCGCGCGAUGCACCAGCUUCCCCUGGCCGCGCGGCCGCCGGCGCCGCGGUCUCACUGUUCUCGGAGUAGGUCGGCGUGCCGCUGCAGCCUGAAGCAGGCGCCUGCCUCUCUCGCCGUGGCCGCAAGACGGUGCGCGGCCGCGCCGCUCUUGGCCGCGUCGCUCCUCCUCGCCGCCGCCGCGACUCCUGGCAUUCCUGCCGGUACUCCACCAGCGUUUGCCCAAUCCCAAGGCGCGGCGCUGUUCCGGAAGGCGUGCAUCGGGUGCCACGACACGGGUGGGAACAUCCUACAGCCGGUGAGUUUGCUGAAAUCCCUUGCACGGUCGUAACGACUGUAAAUUCCAGGUUCAGAUCAUCGUCUGUUUGCUCCUUGAUCAUGUCCAGGGAGCCACCCUCUCCAUGAAGGAUCUUGAGAGGAAUGGAGUUGCCACGGAGGAAGAGAUAUACAACAUUACUUAUUACGGGAAGGGAAGGAUGCCGGGUUAUGGAGAGCAAUGCACGCCGAGAGGGCGGUGUACCUUCGGCCCCCGGCUGCCUGAAGACGAUAUCAAGAUGCUUGCAGCAUUUGUCAAAUCGCAAGCAGAGAACGGGUGGCCAAAGAUCGACGGUGAUGUCGAGUGAUCCGAUUACGGCUGAACACGAGGAGCUAGCUCCAUUUCGCGAGGAGGCUGAAACCAUAACUGUUUAUGAGGUUAAUAUUUUUUUUGACUCGCAAGCAAACCGUAGAACAAUUGUUCUAAAUAAUUUUACAUUAAUAAAAUGAAAAUAGUUAUUCACGCAGACGAAGAUUAAAGUAUCUACAGCCGAAUUUGGCAAAUCCGACCCCUCAAACACAUGCGGACGGGUGCGUCCGCGGACAGUGACCGGCCACCUCUCAAAAAACGCAUUCCACAUUCGGAUACCUCAAAUUAAAAACCUCAAAUCCAUAUUAUUACAUGCAACGUGAAAUCUAAUCUACGUGGAGCUCAUCCGGUUUCACUCCCCGCUCGCCGGCUCCGCCCUAGCCAUGUCCGGCGGCCGGCUGCGCUCCUCAGAGUGUUGGGCCGGUCACCGGCAAGGUAGGGUAGGGCAUGAGACACGAGCUGGCUCACGGGACUCAAGGCCCCGUCGUCUUCCAUGCCCUACUCUUUCUCGCGGAGACCGGUACCCAAACGGUGUUGUUGGACGUCAGAGCGAUGAUGAAUUCAUCUGGGGACGAGCCGCCGACGUCCACCACAAUGCGGUUGCGGCGCCCGGACUGAUGCGCCAUACGGUGCGCCGGAGAAUGCGACUCCGCCUCGCCGACAUCCGUCGCCGCGAGGGCUGCUGCCACCUCCCACACCCGGUGCCUUGCAUGGCGGGCACGCCGUGCCAUGGCCUCGUCGGACGAGGCCCAUGGUGCGUCUCGAUACUCGGCGCGUCACCGGAGGGGUUGCGCGUCCGCCAACGCAUUCGGACGCUGAUACGUCUCCAAUAUAUCUACAAUUUUUGAUUGUUCCAUGUUAUUAUAUUAUUUGUUUUGGAUGUUUUAUAUGCAUUAAUAUGCUAUUUUAUACUCCCUCCGUCCAAAAAUACUUGUCAUCAAAAUGGAUAAAAAGGGAUGUAUCUAAAACUAAAAUACGUCUAGAUACAUCCUCUUUUAUUCAUUUUGAUGAUAAGUAUUUCCGGACGGAGGGAGUAUGACUUUGGGGACUAACCUAUUAACCUAGAGCCCAGUGCCACUUCCUGUUUUUUUCCUUAUUUUAGAGUUUCGCAGAAAAGGAAUACCAAACGAAGUCCAAAUGGAAUGAAACUUUCACGAUGAUUUUUCUUGGACCAUAAGACACCCAGAGGACUUGGAGUGCACGUCGGGAAAGUCAUGAGGCUACCAUAAGGACGAAGGGCACGCCCCCCACCCUUGUGGGCCCCUCGUGACUCCACCGACCUAUUUCUUCCGCCUAUAUAUUCUCAAAUAUUCCAAAACCUAUAAGGGGAGCCACGAAAACACCUUUCCGCCAUCGCAACCUUCUAUACCCAUGAGAUCCCAUCUAGGGGCCUUUCCCGGUGUCCUGUCGGAGGGGGAUUCGAUCACAGAGGGCUUCUACAUCAACAUCAUUGCCUCUCCGAUGAAGCGUGAGUAGUUUACGUCAGACCUAAGGGUCCAUAACUAGUAGCUAGAUGGCUUCUUCUCUCUCUUUGAUUCUCAAUACCAUGUUCUCCUCGAUGUUUUUGGAGAUCUAUUCGAUGUAAUACUCUUUUGCGGUGUGUUUGCCGAGAUCCAAUGAAUUGUGUAUUUAUGAUCAGCUUAUCUAUGAAUAUUAUUUGAAUCUCCUCUGAAUUCUUAUAUGCA